RNAcentral lists this long non-coding RNA (1284 nucleotides) under Olea europaea (common olive). RNAcentral describes it as "long non-coding RNA (OEUR_LNC009111)". The record is from RNAcentral. Lineage: Eukaryota; Viridiplantae; Streptophyta; Magnoliopsida; Lamiales; Oleaceae.
AGAGAGAAGGUGAUAAGACAGUGCUGUGAGGGAGAAAUAAGUGGGUGUUGCCAAUAUAAUAUUAGAGCGAAGUUAGUGGAUAGUGGUGUGUUUUGUCGAAAUUCUAAAAGUAAGUUAUAUACCAGUGUUUGUCCUAAUUGUAAAAGUGAUUUAUAUCAAUAAUUUUUUUUUUAAAUUUUGGUGUUUAAAAUCAACAAGAUGAACCCUAAGCACCAAAUCUCGACCCCAAAUCCGAACGUGAAGUUGCGGCUAUCUGAAGAAGUGGAGGUUGUUCAUCUUCUCCGUUGGCACAUUAUUUAAGAAGGUAUAUGCGUAGACUCUAAGAAUGUUGUUAAUGAAUAAAAACUGAAAAUUUAUUGAUUUUGUAAAGUGUACAAAAUUUGUUUUUGGGUAUUAGCAAUGUUAAUCAUAGUUUGCUUUUAUGUUUGAAAAGGCCCUGAAAUGUAGAAUCCUUGUGCAAAUGUGUUUAACAGAAGAUUAACCUCUAGUUUUUUCUUUGAGAAUUCUAAUUUUGACUACUAUGUUCCAAUCCAGAACCUUGCAACUCUACUUACACUGUAUUAACUCUUGAUUUAGUGUUUUACAGUUUUUUUGUGGCUGACAUAGUAGUAGUUUUCAAUGACAGGAAAGAACAAGGGCUUUUGUCAUAAUUGUAGAAAGUUCAAGCACCAUUGUCAGAAUACCCAACAAAGAAAUGAGGCUCAAGAUGGGCCGAGAGCUUUGUGAAAUUGAUGGGAGGUUGAAAAGAAGACUCCAAACAUAUGGCGGUGAUUCUUCUGUUGUAGUAGCAAUUGUGGGUAUUUCAAGUGGAGUGAUGUCUCAUCUGGCGUUGAAAAAUGCUUGCAAUUUGAAGGUUAGUCUAGUGGUGUUUACAAAGAACGUGAAUCAAAAUGUGUUUAUUUAGGUAAAUCUAUGCCUAAAGAUCCAAUUGAAGAUUUGUCUUGAAUAUUCAAAAAAUUUGAUCAAAUAUCCAAACAAGAGGACAUGUAGAUAUCUCUCAAAAUAAAUAUUUACAAGGAAAAAAGAGAUAGGAAAAGAAUGGGAAACAAAAGGGAAAAUAUCUGUGAAGUGGUCAUGGUUUGUCGAUAUUUAUGUAGUUAGCGCUAGAGUUUAAGUUGAAGGGGUCAUGGUUUGUCAUUGUAAAUUAAAUUUGCACUACAUUUUGACUUGGUAAUUACACAAAUGUGUGCUCAUACCAUGUAGCAUAAAACUAGAUAAUUGUAACAAGAGUUUGUUAUUGUUGAUAUGGGAAAAAAGAUUGUAAACAAUGGAGUGCUUACUAAG